Molecule: ribosomal RNA, 492 nt
Filed under: uncultured bacterium
Lineage: Bacteria
Description: partial 16S ribosomal RNA
Rfam family: Bacterial small subunit ribosomal RNA
Source: RNAcentral
AGUGAACGCUGGCGGUAGGCCUAACACAUACAAGUCGAACGGCAGCACAGUAAGAGCUUGCUCUUACGGGUGGCGAGUGGCGGACGGGUGAGGAAUACAUCGGAAUCUACUUUUUCGUGGGGGAUAACGUAGGGAAACUUACGCUAAUACCGCAUACGACCUACGGGUGAAAGCAGGGGAUCUUCGGACCUUGCGCGAUUGAAUGAGCCGAUGUCGGAUUAGCUAGUUGGCGGGGUAAAGGCCCACCAAGGCGACGAUCCGUAGCUGGUCUGAGAGGAUGAUCAGCCACACUGGAACUGAGACACGGUCCAGACUCCUACGGGAGGCAGCAGUGGGGAAUAUUGGACAAUGGGCGCAGGCCUGAUCCAGCCAUACCGCGUGGGUGAAGAAGGCCUUCGGGUUGUAAAGCCCUUUUGUUGGGAAAGAAAAGCAGCAGGUUAAUACCCCGCUGUUCUGACGGUACCCAAAGAAUAAGCACCGGCUAACUUCGUG